Molecule: ribosomal RNA, 663 nt
Filed under: Triticum aestivum (bread wheat)
Lineage: Eukaryota; Viridiplantae; Streptophyta; Magnoliopsida; Poales; Poaceae
Description: partial small subunit ribosomal RNA
Source: RNAcentral
AUGGUCAUUACUCUAUGGUCUAUUUGGUAUGCAAGACGAAAGGCCAUAUAUGAAUCUAUUUUCCAAAGUCCACAACAAACUACAAGCUUUGUCAAUAAAUUCAUCAAUGAUCUGGGUCUCAUCACAGCCGGGAGCGAACGUCAAAGCCCGACCACUACUGCGCAAGCCCGGCCGGAGCGAUGGCUGCCACCCCCGAGUGGCAGUGUCAAGAUCAAUGUAGAUGGAGCAGUGGCGAGGUCACGCCUUGGAGGAGCGGUAACCGUACUAUGCCGUGAUCGGGAGGGCUUAUACUUGGGGUCCUCUGCUGUGGUUUUUCAUCACACCAGGGAUCCCCUUCUUCUAGAGACAUAUGCUUGUCGGGAGGCGCUGGCACUCGCGGACGACCUGGCGGUCAGGAAUAUUUGUGUGGCAUGCGACUGCCAAGAGGUGGUAAAUGACAUCAACAGGGGUAUUGGAGGCCCCAAUGCGUCAAUAGUUUAUGAAAUAUUGAGUCAUUGUAAGAGUUUCAUUUCUUGCUCUUUUAUCCAUGAGCGUAGGAACUUUAAUUUCGAGGCUCACAAUCUCGCUAAAUUUGCUUGUAAUCUAGGCGUAGGUCGUCAUGUUUGGUUGGGCACUCCUCAUGACCCAACCCUUGUACCUAUGACCUUUCCUUUGAAUGAAUAA